RNAcentral lists this ribosomal RNA (253 nucleotides) under uncultured bacterium. RNAcentral describes it as "partial 16S ribosomal RNA". It matches the Rfam family "Bacterial small subunit ribosomal RNA", at positions 524 to 776 of the family's 1533-position model. The record is from RNAcentral.
UACAGAGGGGGCAAGCGUUGUUCGGAAUUACUGGGCGUAAAGGGCGCGUAGGCGGCCGCCUAAGUCAGACGUGAAAUCCCUCGGCUCAACCGGGGAACUGCGUCUGAUACUGGGUGGCUUGAAUCCGGGAGAGGGAUGCGGAAUUCCAGGUGUAGCGGUGAAAUGCGUAGAUAUCUGGAGGAACACCGGUGGCGAAGGCGGCAUCCUGGACCGGCAUUGACGCUGAGGCGCGAAAGCUAGGGGAGCGAACAGG